CCACCUUCUCAGACACUCCUCCGAGC
This 26-nucleotide non-coding RNA is filed under the name Mus musculus (house mouse). Lineage: Eukaryota; Metazoa; Chordata; Mammalia; Rodentia; Muridae. The record is from RNAcentral.